RNA transcript from Megalobrama amblycephala (Wuchang bream), 2722 nucleotides. It is a transcript of the gene named vascular endothelial growth factor Aa, with no coding region annotated. NCBI's taxonomy places the organism in Eukaryota, Metazoa, Chordata, Actinopteri, Cypriniformes, Xenocyprididae. The transcript has 7 exons. The record is from RefSeq and is a predicted model, not a curated record.
AGCACUGUGCAGCAGAAGCGCUGAAAGACAGAGCGAGCGCAAAGUGACAAGACCUCCUCAUACUGCGCGAUAACAUCCACACCUAUAUGAAACAAGAAAAACCAAAACAAUUGCGGAAAUAAGACGAGGAAAAGAAGGAAACGCCAGCUGCAGUUAAACCAGGGAUUGCCAUUGGAUCACUUUAUACCGGCACAUGUAAUGUCUUGCUCUUGAUGAUAAUCAUACGCGCAGAAGCCGUUCUCUGGCCCUAGUCGCGCGUGCAGAGUGGAGGUUGCGCUUGGAAGUGUACGAAACUUUUUUUUUGUUUUGUUUUGCCUCUGACGUUUUGGAUUUAGAUUUAUUAAAAGUCGACCUUCCAUUAUACUGUGGAUUUUAUAAGCGAAAUACGCGGAGGACCAAGAUAGUGUGGAUUUCACCCAAUUUCUUUUCUUUGUCUUAUUUUACUAUUAUUAUUAUUAGUAUUAGUAUUAUCAUUAUUUAUGUUAUUAUAUUUUCUGGAGGAGCGGAGACGUUCAAGAAGUUAAUUUUAGUGGAUUCGACGCAGGUGCUUCGGUCCUGAAGGGCAGAAUGGAAUUGUUAUUUUGACCCACGAUAUCACACGGUUCCAUUCAUAUUCCUCAGCUUCGCUUUUUAAUUGUUUUGAGAGCCAAAGACUGUUCAGUGACGCUCACCGCAACACACCACUGGAAUUACAAUCAUGAACUUUGUCGUUUAUUCGAUACAGUUAUUUUUUGCGGCUCUCCUUCAUCUGUCUGCUGUAAAGGCUGCCCACAUACCCAAAGAAGGGGGAAAGAGCAAAAAUGAAGUGAUUCCCUUCUUGGAUGUGUAUAAAAAGAGUGCGUGUAAGACACGAGAGCUGCUGGUAGACAUCAUUCAGGAGUAUCCCGACGAGAUCGAGCACACAUACAUCCCGUCCUGUGUGGUUCUCAUGCGCUGUGCAGGCUGCUGCAACGACGAAGCGCUCGAGUGUGUCCCUACAGAGACGCGCAACGUCACCAUGGAGGUACUGCGAGUCAAACAACAUGUAUCGCAGCAUAAUUUUCAAAUGAGUUUCACAGAACACACCAAGUGUGAAUGCAGGCCAAAGGCAGAAGUCAAAGCAAAGAAAGAAAAAAAACCCAGAGUGGGGAGGGUUAAAAGCCGAAAAAGAGCAAGAGAGGGAGAUACAGGCGAUCUCAACGCCUCGGCUCACCUGCGCUCAAGCAGUAUUUUGCUCUCAGUCAUUGGCUUUAUUUCAGGGCAGUUUGUUUGCUCUUUGUAAUCUCACUCAGUCUGCAUUUAUUUGUACUCAUAUUCACACUGUUGGCCCAAAGCCCGCAAAGACGAAAGCAACCAAAGAUGUGAAAAACCAAGAUGAUGAGCGGAACGCUGGGCAGAACACUGAAUGAAGGAAUUUUUUUACAGCACAGCACUUUUUAACCCUGAGGAUGCAUUCCCUGGACGAACUACAAACACUACCCUGAACAAAUAUCAUCCCAAUGUAUAUUUUUAAGAUAUUAAUAUAUGAAUAUAUAGAAUAUAUAUUAUAUAUAUUAAAUGACAAUGACAAUGUGUGUCGCUGCUAUCAUCCGAAUUACUACAAACAAUUAAACGAAGACGCUGCUUGGCGUGUGAAUGGGAUAUAUUGCAGUGUCACUGCACCUGGGUCUGUGAUUGGACAGAACACGGUGAGGUAAUGCUUCACUGGAUCAGCUGGCUGUGGAUUCACAUUUAAAGACUCGGAUUGAAUGUCCAAGACUUCACCAAGAGGUGCAAACGAUAAUCUCCACCCCUUUAUAUGAACAGUUACAGACUGUCAAUCAAAGGAGAGGAAGUGACAGAUUCUUUCGGACUGUUCGGAACAGUGGGUCCAGGCACGGGAUACGAAUGCGGAACUAUCUAUUUCUGUGAUGUCACUCUUACUUGGGUGAAGUCUUAGUCAAAAAGACACCUGUACUGACUAACAUCCUAUAGGACUUGGUGUGAAAAUACUAAAGGGAUAUUACAUGUAUGUAUAUAUGGAAUUAAAGAAGAAGAAAAGAUAAAUGUGACAAAAUGCAAAUUGGAAAAACAAACAAAAAAAAAAGAUUCUGACUUUUGUCAAGGAAUAGAAUCAUUCAGUUCACAGCAGUAGUAAAAGAUAAAACAGAUAUUUAUGGUUCGUAACAUUUUCCAAAGAGAAUAUUGCACACAACUUUAGGAACUGUUCAUUACCACACAGUGUCUGUAUAUACAUACCUAAUAUCCCUUUAUGUAGUUCACCUCAUCUAAUUUAUAAUGUUAGAAUAUGUUCAGUAUUCUGUGUAUUUAAUUUGAUCUAUUUAUAUGCAGUGUUAUUGUUGAUAUUGUUUUGCUUUGUUUCCCAUCGACAUUGUCAUCAAUCUGAAAAACUGUGGAUGGCUUUUAUAGAACGAAAUACAAAUGAAAAGAGAUACAAACACUUCAACAUUCCUGAAAGCGCCUUUUUUGUCGUUGUUUAUUUGAACAUUUUUAUAUCAGUGAUCAGUUUGAUGGAGAUACGAGAUCUGUGGAGGAGAAAACAAAACAUUCUCUUUGUGUGAAAGUGCCAGAAUUUUUUUUUUUUUCUUUGUUUGUUUUCCAUGUACAGCCACAUUUUCAGUAUAUUUUCACAGUAAUAUAUUUAUUGGUGCUGUUAAAUAUUAACAUCCUUUUGUGUUUUUAGUAUAACUAUUAAACAUAUUUAUUUUCAAAUGAUAUUGUUUUUUAUUAAAGCAAAAAUGGA